Molecule: ribosomal RNA, 497 nt
Filed under: uncultured bacterium
Lineage: Bacteria
Description: partial 16S ribosomal RNA
Rfam family: Bacterial small subunit ribosomal RNA
Source: RNAcentral
GAUGAACGCUGGCGGCGUGCCUAAUACAUGCAAGUCGAGCGAACAGAUGAGGAGCUUGCUCCUCUGACGUUAGCGGCGGACGGGUGAGUAACACGUGGAUAACCUACCUAUAAGACUGGGAUAACUUCGGGAAACCGGAGCUAAUACCGGAUAAUAUAUUGAACCGCAUGGUUCAAUAGUGAAAGACGGUUUUGCUGUCACUUUUAGAUGGAUCCGCGCCGCAUUAGCUAGUUGGUAAGGUAACGGCUUACCAAGGCGACGAUGCGUAGCCGACCUGAGAGGGUGAUCGGCCACACUGGAACUGAGACACGGUCCAGACUCCUACGGGAGGCAGCAGUAGGGAAUCUUCCGCAAUGGGCGAAAGCCUGACGGAGCAACGCCGCGUGAGUGAUGAAGGUCUUCGGAUCGUAAAACUCUGUUAUUAGGGAAGAACAAAUGUGUAAGUAACUAUGCACGUCUUGACGGUACCUAAUCAGAAAGCCACGGCUAACUACGUG